Molecule: long non-coding RNA, 1744 nt
Filed under: Triticum aestivum (bread wheat)
Lineage: Eukaryota; Viridiplantae; Streptophyta; Magnoliopsida; Poales; Poaceae
Description: long non-coding RNA (TAES_LNC000489)
Source: RNAcentral
UUCUGUAUGGAGCUCCUGCUCUACAAAUAACACGCAAUACAAUGGUGCUCCUGCUCUACAAAUAACUCUACAAGUGGAGUAACUAAUUUACAAGCUCUACAAGCACUAUAUUCUUCAGGAUGGAGCUCCUUCGUUAGCAUUACAAACAGGCACAUGCACCUGCUCCUGCUCAUAGUCAGGACGCCCUGUUACAUGAAUCAGCAAAGAAGAAUCAGAAAAUUGGAGCAAAUAUAUUAUGAAGAGACCAUUUAAUAAAAAAGACAAGUUCUUCAGAAUGAUAACACAAAUUCAACUAGUACAAUGCUUUUAGAAGUCACAAAAAAUAACGAUUACUACAUGCCAGAUGAUCAUGAAGAGUAUAAACACAUCUUAAAUCUUACUUGUAAAAACAGAAUACAUUAGUGCAGGGGAGUUCAGGCAGAAAACAUACUGCCACAGUGUGCCCCUGGUUAGCCCGAAUCAGCAGCUCACCAUACUCCUCCAACAGACUGAACCUCUACUUGUUGUCUCGCCUGACCGCCUACACGUGAGAAGGCAAAAAAACAUUUACUUGAAGCAUCUUACAAUUCACAACAAAUUCGAGACUGACCCAAUUAAUUUUACAGCAUAUAGAGAUUUUACAAUCAAAGUUCAUGGUGCUAGGAUGCUAGCUAUCAAGAUGAAAACAAAUGUAGCAGAUACAUUGUACAAACAAGAAUUUUUUUACAACAUCGCAUUAACACUGCGUGUGCAAUGAUUUGGCUAACAAGUGUAAACAACAAGGAACACAUACUGUAGCACAACUAAGAACAGCACGGUCCAUCACAAUAAUGUAACCAGUCAAGGGCUGCUCUAAGCAAGCAUAGUUGCACAUGCAAAGUCAACUGUCUAGUUAAAUGCUCUACAGGUCUUCUAAAUUGCUCGACAGAUAAAAAUAGCGCAAAAUACUUCAUGAAAGCACAAAAUCAUUACAUUGUACUAGUACUGAAACAGAAACAAGAACAAAUCAAGCUUCGGCUCCCACGCAGAUUGGGAAUACAGCAAUACAGUAUCAAAAAUAAACUACCAGAAUACAUAGAAAUUCCAUGCAGAUGAGUAUUUCCAUAAUACAGUUUCUUUUUUUGAAGAGUUGCAUAUCACAAUAAAAAUAGAUACAAUGUUUAAUUGCCCGAGGACAGAACAGGUAAAGAAGACAGAACAUACAAGGCAUGCAUACAUUAUUAACUAAAAGAGAGGAUCGAACAAUAAGGAUGAGUUAACCCAUAUCGAUAAAUAAUAUCUAUAGAUGAUUCCAUACAAUGUAGAACUGUUGUACUUGGCAAUGCACACUAGGUACUGAUGACUGGUUAUAUUGGUUCAUUGUCAUCAAAUUAAAAAAGAACUACCCUGAUCAAGCAUACAUAAGCAUAAAAAAGGUCAAACAAGCUCAUUGUGCAUUUUCUUUUUAAAUGUGAUACACAAUAAGCAUAAGUAACCACUAGGAAAAUAACUUGCUAUCUACAUGCCCUAUUAUCAGCAACAAGAACAUUAGGUAAGGAAUAACAGAAUAUUUCCAAUGCAAUCUGUCUCCAUCCCCAGCACUGCGGCAACAGUCUCCAGCAUCAUUGCGCGGUAGCCAUACCUCCUCUGCAACCCAAUUUGAAGGGUCAGCUUCAGAACAUGAUAAACUUCCAAGUACAAUACAGGAAACCAAGAUGAUAAACUGGUGCAAAAAUCAUGAUAAACAGGUACCCCUCUCUGUCUGAACCGUUUUCUUGCACAUAUG